Molecule: ribosomal RNA, 892 nt
Filed under: uncultured Acidimicrobiia bacterium
Lineage: Bacteria; Bacillati; Actinomycetota; Acidimicrobiia
Description: bacterial SSU rRNA
Rfam family: Bacterial small subunit ribosomal RNA
Source: RNAcentral
AUGCAGUCGAACGAGGUCGCCUUCGGGCAAUGACCUAGUGGCGAACGGGUGCGUAACACGUGAGGAACCUGCCCCGAAGACUGGGACAACCACGGGAAACUGUGGCUAAUACCAGAUGCCCUCCUCUGAUCGCAUGAUCGGAAGAGGAAAUGCUCCGGCGCUUUGGGAGGGCCUCGCGGCCUAUCAGCUUGUUGGUGGGGUAACGGCUCACCAAGGCAGUGACGGGUAGCUGGUCUGAGAGGACGAUCAGCCACACUGGGACUGAGACACGGCCCAGACUCCUGCGGGAGGCAGCAGUGGGGAAUCUUGCGCAAUGGGCGAAAGCCUGACGCAACAACGCCGCGUGGGGGAUGAAGGCUCUCGGGUUGUAAACCCCUUUCAGCAGGGACGAAAUUGACGGUACCUGAAGAAGAAGCCCCGGCCAACUACGUGCCAGCAGCCGCGGUGACACGUAGGGGGCGAGCGUUGUCCGGAAUUAUUGGGCGUAAAGAGCUCGUAGGCGGUUUAGUAAGUCAGAUGUGAAAGGUUGGGGCUCAACCCUAAGACUGCAUCCGAUACUGCUAUGACUAGAGUCCGGUAGAGGAGUGUGGAAUUCCUGGUGUAGCGGUGAAAUGCGCAGAUAUCAGGAGGAACACCGACGGCGAAGGCAGCACUCUGGGCCGGUACUGACGCUCAGGAGCGAAAGCGUGGGUAGCAAACAGGAUUAGAUACCCUGGUAGUCCACGCCGUAAACGUUGGGCACUAGGUGUGGGGCCUUAUCAACGGGUUCCGUGCCGUAGCUAACGCAUUAAGUGCCCCGCCUGGGGAGUACGGCCGCAAGGCUAAAACUCAAAGGAAUUGACGGGGGCCCGCACAAGCGGCGGAGCAUGUUGCUUAAUUCGAGGCAACGCGA